RNAcentral lists this ribosomal RNA (210 nucleotides) under uncultured bacterium. RNAcentral describes it as "partial 16S ribosomal RNA". It matches the Rfam family "Bacterial small subunit ribosomal RNA", at positions 524 to 730 of the family's 1533-position model. The record is from RNAcentral.
UACGUAGGGUGCAAGCGUUAUCCGGAAUUAUUGGGCGUAAAGAGCUCGUAGGCGGUUUGUCGCGUCUGCUGUGAAAACCUAAGGCUCAACCUUGGGCUUGCAGUGGGUACGGGCAGACUAGAGUGCGGUAGGGGGUGACUGGAAUUCCUGGUGUAGCGGUGGAAUGCGCAGAUAUCAGGGAGGAACACCGAUGGCGAAAGGCAGGUCACU